This is a long non-coding RNA of Brassica napus (rape), 1767 nucleotides long. RefSeq lists it as uncharacterized. NCBI's taxonomy places the organism in Eukaryota, Viridiplantae, Streptophyta, Magnoliopsida, Brassicales, Brassicaceae. The transcript has 3 exons. The record is from RefSeq and is a predicted model, not a curated record.
GGCAAAUUAGGUACACUUGUGUGUCCAACGUAUGGCUCUGUUAAUAGGUUUAGUACAAGUAUGCAGUUAAUGGUCCAAGCAUGAAUACGUGUUGCCAGCUUUGUGGAGGAAUAUAGUUGGAGACAUACGUUUAAGAGUGACUCGGACAAAUGAAUUUGUGUUCUCUCGGAUCUACCAACACUGUAGCAUGCCUUUCCAUAUUUUCUACUACAAUAUCCAAAGAAACACGAUCGUAAGAGUUCAGAUCCAAGGAAUGAAUGCGCCUCGUCGUAGUAUAAUUUACACCCUUCUAGACCAUGCAGAGGACGUGAAACUUAUGCAAAUGUUGUAGUUAGUGCUUAAGACUUUUGUAAGAGAGCUACUCUGGCUCUCUAUCAUCGGUUUUCACCACAUGGUUCUGGAAUUUUAUUACCUUCUUUCUCUAAUUGGACUACUAUUUCUAAUUGGCUACUCUUUUUACAAUGAGACUACAGUGUGUAGUUUAAUUAAGCACUCGGGAACUUUCAUGGAGAAUAGUCUAGUCUAGCAUAAUACAGUAUAAAAAUAUAGAGAAAAAAAUAUAUUAGAUUAAACAAAAUUCUACUCUUUUUCCCUUUUUUUGUUUUUUUGUUUUUUUUUGUUUUUGAAACUUCCCUUUUUUGUUAAAUGGAAUUACUUUUCAUUUCUUGUAAAGCUAUUUUAUCAUGUAAAGGCUGUAAUUAUGCGAAAAUAUUGGUACAAGAUUGUAAACUAAUAAGGUCAAUAGGUCGGUCAUACCUCGUAACAAUCUAUCUAUAUAUAUAAUAGCAAACCUAUUUUUCUUUAACCGCUGAUGUCAUUUUUUUUUAUAAGAAAAAAAAAUUUCAAUCCAACAGUGAUGUUUGUUGUGGAUAUGUAAUCUAAUGGAUAAAUUUUUUUUUAAGAUAAAAACUAUGACGUUAUUGAUUUAAUCAUCGUUUUCAAUUCACUAAAGUCACAGCUCUUCAAAGACGCCGCUUAGACAAGCUCUAGAACCGUCAUCAACUCCAAGAGUCGUCUCUUUUCACAAACCUAUUAAUAGAAUAAACUAUACAGAUUUGCAUUUUUUUUUGUAGUUAACUCAUCUGGUUCUCUCACUAACUUUUUAUCUUUCUCUGUUUUCUUAACGUCCAAUUCCUGUCAAAUAUUUUUUGGUUCAAUUCACAGACGCGUUGAAUCAUUCUUCCAUACAUCUUCCCUAAUCCAUCUUUCCACCCAUAAUCUCAGCCGUAAUUGUUUGUAACCCAUUUGUUUAUUUUAAUAUAUCCCUAAUUUGAAGAGGUUUCUUUCCGUAUUCUCAUCGUACGUCUGAUUAAUUUAUGCCUCUUUACUUUUGUUAAUCUUCCUCCUUUUUAAGUAUACUUAUUUUUUCUGCAAUAUUUCUUUUCACGGCAUGUGGCUAUUUGAAUUCAUUCUCUGUGAUCAGAUCUCUUUUUGAAUGGUUAGUAAUUUCAGGGAGGAGAUGGAGUGAUUUGCGUCUUAUUUUAUAGCCGACGAACGAUCCGCUUUAAUUUCAGGGAGGAGAUGGAGUGAUUUGCGUCUUAUUUUAUAGCCAACGAACGAUCCGCUUAUUCAGUGAAGCUUAACCUCACGUAGGAUGUGAAGAUGGGCAGGCGGAGUAGAUAUUCUGGCCGAGAGGAAGAAGAAGGUUUUCUUUAACGCACACACUAUUUUUUUCCGGUAUCUGGGCCAUAAUUUCCUUUGAUAAUCAUAAUAGCAAUUGUAUAUUUUCAUUUUUUUUUUUUUUAAGAAAAAGGUUAAACCCGGGUC